Molecule: ribosomal RNA, 494 nt
Filed under: uncultured bacterium
Lineage: Bacteria
Description: bacterial SSU rRNA
Rfam family: Bacterial small subunit ribosomal RNA
Source: RNAcentral
UUAUGGCUCAGGAUGAACGCUGGCGGCGUGCCUAACACAUGCAAGUCGAACGGUGAUAUAUAGAUGAUUCGGUCUGAAAUAUAUCAUAGUGGCGGACGGGUGAGUAACGCGUGGAUAACCUGCCCCGUACUGGGGGAUAGCAGCUGGAAACGACUGCUAAUACCGCAUAAGCGCACAGUACCGCAUGGUACAGUGUGAAAAGACUAUCGGCAUACGAUGGACCCGCGUCUGAUUAGCUAGUUGGUGAGGUAACGGCCCACCAAGGCGACGAUCAGUAGCCGGCCUGAGAGGGUGAACGGCCACAUUGGGACUGAGACACGGCCCAAACUCCUACGGGAGGCAGCAGUGGGGAAUAUUGGACAAUGGGGGAAACCCUGAUUCCCAGCGACGCCGCGUGAGUGAAGAAGUAUUUCGGUAUGUAAAGCUCUAUCAGCAAGGAAGAAAAUGACGGUACUUGACUAAGAAGCUCCGGCUAAAUACGUGCCAGCCGCUGC